This 468-nucleotide ribosomal RNA is filed under the name uncultured bacterium. RNAcentral describes it as "partial 16S ribosomal RNA". It matches the Rfam family "Bacterial small subunit ribosomal RNA", at positions 28 to 507 of the family's 1533-position model. The record is from RNAcentral.
GACGAACGCUGGCGGCGUGCUUAACACAUGCAAGUCGAACGGAAAGGCCCUGCUUUUGUGGGGUGCUCGAGUGGCGAACGGGUGAGUAACACGUGAGUAACCUGCCCUUGUCUUUGGGAUAACUUCAGGAAACUGGGGCUAAUACCGGAUAGGAGCUCCUGCUGCAUGGUGGGGGUUGGAAAGUUUCGGCGGUUGGGGAUGGACUCGCGGCUUAUCAGCUUGUUGGUGGGGUAGUUGCUUACCAAGGGUUUGACGGGUAGCCGGCAUGAGAGGGGGGCCGGCCACAUUGGGACUGAGAGACGGCGCAGACGCCUACGGGAGGCAGCGGUCGGGAGUAUUGCGCAACGGGCGGAAGCCUGAUGCGGCAACGCCGCGUGCGGGAUGACGGCCUUCGGGUUGUAAACCGCUUUCGCCUGUGACGAAGCGUGAGUGACGGUAACGGGUAAGAAAGCACCGGCUAACUACGUG